Long non-coding RNA from Fundulus heteroclitus (mummichog), 4443 nucleotides. RefSeq lists it as uncharacterized. Lineage: Eukaryota; Metazoa; Chordata; Actinopteri; Cyprinodontiformes; Fundulidae. The record is from RefSeq and is a predicted model, not a curated record. The transcript is spliced from 3 exons.
UUUAAGGCCCUAAAAGCCUUAAAUACGUCCCCAUAAUAUGAGAAUUAAGAAAGAGCUAAUUAAAAUAACGAUUGAAAAUAUAGUAGAAAAACAAGUUCAAAUGUGUAUGAAGGAAAACUAAGGGAGGGGGGAUGAAAAAAGUUAAAAGCGCAUGACUUCAGAAUGUUAAAUUAAAAGGUGGGUGAGAAGAUGACGGUAAAAGCUCAGGAUUAGACUGAUUAUAAAUAAGCGCUUUGCCCAAAAACCUCAGCGACACUCAUCUGAUCUUAAGGGGAUCCAUCCUAGAGGCGAGAACUGUUUAUUAAAUGUCAAUUCUGUCAUUUGGGAUUUUUAAAACCCUCCUCAACCGCAGACCACGCAAAUAAAAUUAAAGCUUUUAAAUACCACGGACCAGAGCCAUGAGAGCUUUAUAAAUAAGUUGAAAAAUCUGAUCCCUGAAGGCCACAGGCAGCCAUUGUUUAACCCUUUAUAUUUAAUUUUAUUUCCCACGCAGCUCAGAGCAGCAGCAGCUUGUAGACGAGACGUUCCUGUUUUAGGGGGCAGCAGAUAACAGAGCCUCGCAGGAUGAAGGAAAUAAAAGCAGGACUUAAAGUUUCACACCUCCCACACAACAAACCUGCGAAACUGGCCUGUUUCGUGUUCAGGCCUUUCAAAAUCCAAAGUUCUCGUUUCCUGAUCCACUAUCAGCUCAUCCUGAUAACCUGUACGUUUCAAGUUGAACAAAUGCAGCUUCCUUAAGUUUAAACAGCACGAAAUCUUGGCUUUCAAGCCCUGUAGUAAAAAAAAAAGAUUAAUGUGAAAUAAUUAGUCUUUUUAUUAUUUAGAGACUUGAUGUUACUGGAUAGCCUCAAACUUAAAACCAAAACAUCAUAAGCCAUUUCCAGCUGUUCAAUGAUGGCUUCCUGGAACAAGUUUGCUGCUUUAAAUGUCAUUAAAUCAUUAACGGCAAAAACUGCCGACUCGGUUUACUCAACAUGUCAAAGGUGAACAGUAUAUGCAGCUUUUAUAGAGCUCUGAUAACCAGGCGCCGCGUUAAAGAGCCACGCUUAUUGACGCUGUAAAUGCUUAAAUAUUUCCUGGGAUGAAAUCCUCGUUACAUUUAACAAACAAUGGAGAGCAGCGGCCUCAGAGCCAGCCAGGCCAUCCUAGAUGCAGAGCUUUAAGCUGUCAAUGCCGGGCUUUCCUUUGAGUGAAGGCGGAUGUUGAUGGUGUUAAUUGGGGUUCUCCACUCUGAGCUGCCUGUGAUUUAGAUGAUGAUGGAUGAGCAGCUGACGGACGUGUGGGAGACUGAAGGCCCGGCCCACACUGUGUGCAGGUAGCAGCGGUAUGCCAGGUAUGUAAACAGUGUUGCAGCCAUAUUGCUGCAGAGCUGCAGGAAACGGAGCUCUAACCCCAUUAGGACUUUUUCCUGUCAUGAUCGUGAACUACAGGCUGCACUAAAAUGUGGUUGAACCGCUCUUAUCUCCGCUUACGUAGUUUCUGCAAACUUUCGCUGCAUUCAUUUAAAAUGCUGCAUGAAGUCUUUGACUUCCUCAAUUAGCAUGUUGGCGUCUAAACAGGCGCUCGGAAACCUUUUCAAUAUAAACUGCUGCUUUUUGUGAGGGUCGUAUUUCUUCUUUUUCUGGAUUCCUAUAGGUUACUGUGGGGUCAAAAAUCUUUUAUCCCUGACAAGGCUUAAAUAGGCGCUGAUUCGUUGUAAGCCAUGCAAACAAUUAGUUAUAUAGUAAUUUAAGUUUACACGCUCAUUCGUUGCCUCUGCUGUGGAUAUUUUUUUAUGUUGAGUUUUUAGGAAAAGCUUAUUGCAUUUUUUUCUCUAACUGCACAGGUUUGUUGUCCUUCAUGUUGAAUUCAGGUGUUUAAUAAUUUUUGUAAUAAAACUACAAUGACCAGAAAUAAUACUACAAUCACCAUCCAUAAAACUACAAUGGCCAGAAAUAAAGCUACAAUGAUCAGAAAUAAAACUACACUAACCAGAAAUAAAGCUACAAUGACCAGAAAUAAAACUACAAUAACCAGAAAUAAAGCUACAACGAUCAGAAAGGAAACUACAAUAACCAGAAAUAAAACUACAAUAACCAGAAAUAAAGCUACAAUGACCAGAAAUAAAACUACAAUGAUCAGAAAGGAAACUACAAUGACCAGAAAUAAAACUACACUAACGAGAAAUAAAACUACAAUGACCAGAAAUACAGCUACAAUAAGCAGAACUGAAACUACAAUAAGCAGAAAUAAAACUACAAUAAGCAGAAAUAAAGCUACACUGACCAGAAAUAAAACUACAAUAAGCAGAAAUAAAGCUACAACGAUCAGAAAGGAAACUACAAUGACCAGAAAUAAAAGUACAAUAACCAGAAUUAAAACUACAAUGACCAGAAAUAAAACUACAAUUGACCAGGAAUAAAACUACAAUUGACCAGAACUGAAACAGCAAUGACCAGAAAUAAAACUACAAUGACCAGAAAUAAAACUACAAUUGACCAGAACUGAAACAGCAAUGACCAAAAAAUAAAACUUCAAUGACCAGAAAUAAAACUACAAUGGCCAGAAAUAAAACUACAAUAACCAGAAAUAAAGCUACAAUGAUCAGAAAGGAAACUACAAUGACCAGAAAUAAAACUACACUGACCAGAAAUAAAACUACAAUAACCAGAAAUAAAGCUACAACGAUCAGAAAGGAAACUACAAUGACCAGAAAUAAAAAUACAAUGACUAGAAAUAAAACUACAAUAACCAGAAAUAAAGCUACAAUGACCAGAAAUAAAACUACACUAACCAGAAAUAAAACUACAAUGACCAGAAAUACAGCUACAAUAACCAGAACUGAAACUACAAUGACCAGAAAUAAAAAUACAAUAACCAGAAAUAAAGCUACAAUGACCAGAAAUAAAACUACAAUUGACCAGAACUGAAACAGCAAUGACCAGAAAUAAAACUACAAUGACCAGGAAUAAAACUACAAUGACCAGAACUGAAACAGCAAUGACCAAAAAAUAAAACUUCAAUGACCAGAAAUAAAACUACAAUGGCCAGAAAUAAAACUACAAUAACCAGAAAUAAAGCUACAAUAACCAGAAAUAAAGCUACAAUGAUCAGAAAGGAAACUACAAUGACCAGAAAUAAAAGUAAAAUAACCGGAUAUAAAACUACAAUAACCAGAAAUAAAGCUACAUUGACCAGAAAUAAAACUACAACGACUAGAAAGGAAACUACAAUAACCAGAAAUAAACCUAAACUGACUAGAAAGGAAACUAGAAUAACCAGAAAUAAAGCUACAAUGACCAGAAAUAAAUCUACAAUAACCAGAAAUAAAGCUACAAUGACCAGAAAUAAAACUACAAUGAUCAGAAAAGAAACUACAAUGACCAGAAAUAAAAGUACAAUAACCAGAAAUAAAACUACAAUGACCAGAAAUAAAGCUACAAUGACCAGAAAUAAAACUACAAUGACCAGAACUGAAAUAGCAAUGACCAAAAAAUAAAUCUACAAUGACCAGAAAUAAAACUACAAUGAUUAGAAAGGAAACUACAAUGACCAGAAAUAAAGCUACAAUAACCAGAAAUAAAGCUACAAUGACCAGAAAUAAAACUACAAUGAUCAGAAAAGAAACUACAAUAACCAGAAAUAAAACUACAACGAUCAGAAAGGAAACUACAAUGAUUAGAGACAUUUUCAAACAAACCCUCCCAACAAUGCAGUCAAAACUGACUUUUCUGCUCAGUAUAGGGAGUUAAAAUCAAAAUGCUUUAGCUAUGUUAUCUAAAGUUUUAUAGUUUUUAAUAUUUGUCAUUCACAUGGGUCCUUAAUCUUAUAAGGUCUUAAAUUUGCAUCUAUGAGUCCUGAUGAAGCGACGCAGUUACAAGAAACAAACAUAGUUCCUAGCACCAAUAAUUUCAGUCGUCAUGGAAAUUUGUUGUAGCUAUUUCAUGAAAACUUGGCAAAACAUCUGCUGAAGGCUUUGCUUUUGAAUUAUUUCUAUUUUUUUUUUUUUUUACUUUUUAAGACUCUUUUCAGGUCUUUGUGUGUUUUUGUUUUUGUCCAAGAUGAUGAUGCGGGCCAACAGAACAACACGAGGCUUCUGUGACGGAGGCUGCGGAGACUCGGCUGUUUGUGGAGGACUAAACUGACCAAAAUCAAGAGAGAAUACAGAAAUAAAGAAUGAACACGAGAGUAUCCUGCCGGCUGGGACUAACCAUUAAUUAAUUUCCUGAGUGUUUCAGGUCAAGAAAGAGAAACACAUCUUCACUGAUGAGGAGAACAAAUAAAUCCACGCAUGCCUUCAGUUCGAGGUAAUCCUAAAACGGCGACCAGCUGCACCGGUGAGUACAAGGCAAGUACCGUUUAAAUCUUCACACUAUUUAUGUAUCCACUUAAAUUAUAUUUACCUUUCAUUGUUGUGCAUAAGCUGUGAUUUGUGCUUGAAUAAAGGCCAUUUUGUUGGGAAAA